This 1138-nucleotide long non-coding RNA is filed under the name Polistes fuscatus (common paper wasp). RNAcentral describes it as "uncharacterized LOC122513433". Lineage: Eukaryota; Metazoa; Arthropoda; Insecta; Hymenoptera; Vespidae. The record is from RNAcentral.
GGGCUUUUUAGUUUUACGGUUGGUAAUCCUGAUACUUCCCAUAUAUAAUAUCCGCUUAUUACGUAUAUAGGAGGGAGGACUAACAAGUUGUGUUGUGUUGUGAGUCCAACAUGUGGGGGGGGGGCUGUUAUAGAAUAAAUGGAAAUUCGCCGACAAAUUGACAAGAAAGCACACACAUAUUACUGUGAUAUUUGCAUCUUGGAAAUUGCUUAAUCUUUAUAACAAAUGUCCUCCUUUGAAAUCAUUUCAAGAUAGCUGUAAGAAAAUCAGCAAAUGUAUGGGAAAUCUUGUCGAGUUGCCGUUUCGGCCGAGCGAAAAAGGCUACGAAUUCAAAGGGUUAACUUAAUGUUUAUUAAUGAAAAAUGAAAAUAUUAAUUCGAUUGGAUUCUAUAGUCAGUUUUCCAUACAUAUAAUGCUAAUGCGUAUAACGUACUAAUUGUCAAUUGAUUUUGGCGUCAGGCGACGCCAUUGCGACGCCAUUUUAAAACGGUGCCAGAGCGACAUUGAGCGUAAUUGCAUACUACAUUAAUAUGUACUAUAUAAAGCGAUAAUAGUAAAUGAUUUAUCGUGAAAAGUUUUUAGAAGGCAAACGCAAAACAAUCUUGUAAAUAAAAUAUAAAUGAUUAUAUAUGUGUAAUAGAAAUGUACUGUGCCUACCACGUAUAGGAGGGCUGAAAAUUUCAUAGUCUAGCACGCAGAGGUGUGUAAAUUUUUGUCAUGAUUUUUGAAGGGGGUUGCCGCCUCAGGACCUUUUUCUUUGCUUACAACAUUUCAAUGUGUUUUCAUAAUAAGAUAGAGAGAAACAAAUUGUAAGGGAACAUCUUGCAUGAUGCGUGCGCCAGCUCGUAUUCGUCCCGGUUUGUCUUUUUCCAAAUGAAGAAAACAGGACGAAAACAUGAAUUACAAUCCGAUAUAUUAGCCAAGAGAGAUCAUUUGUAAUCAUACCUUGCAAAGAAUCAGAGCAAUACGAUUAACAGUAACGGUAGAUAAAUUUUCGACAUUGACUUUGAUCGGCAUCGAUUGACCAGGAACGUAUCCUCUGACCGAGAAAAGAAGAGAGAAAGGAAGCUUACCGAACUUCUGGAUUCCGUAUUCAAAUCGAAAGGCGAAACGACCGUGAAUGCCGCUUUAACAUCCU